Molecule: ribosomal RNA, 119 nt
Filed under: Salmo salar (Atlantic salmon)
Lineage: Eukaryota; Metazoa; Chordata; Actinopteri; Salmoniformes; Salmonidae
Source: RNAcentral
GCUUACGGCCAUAUCAGCCUGGGUACUCCCGAUCUCGUCUGAUCUCGGAAACUAAGCAGGGUCGGGCCUGGUUAGUACUUGGAUGGGAGACCGCCUGGGAAUACCAGGUGCUGUAAGCA